RNAcentral lists this small nucleolar RNA (63 nucleotides) under Solanum tuberosum (potato). RNAcentral's name for it is "Small nucleolar RNA snoR60". It matches the Rfam family "Small nucleolar RNA snoR60". Rfam says of the family: snoR60 is a member of the C/D class of snoRNA which contain the C (UGAUGA) and D (CUGA) box motifs. Most of the members of the box C/D family function in directing site-specific 2'-O-methylation of substrate RNAs. Lineage: Eukaryota; Viridiplantae; Streptophyta; Magnoliopsida; Solanales; Solanaceae. The record is from Rfam by way of RNAcentral.
AAGCAAAGCACGAAUUUUAAAUUUAAGACUUCAUGGAUGAUGUUAAAUCGAGUUUCUGAUGCU